UCUGUGCUUGCGUGGUGCCGCGUGUGUGUAUAUUUGUGUUCUUCACCCUUCUUCUCUCAUACUAGACCUAAGAUGUGGUUUUACAGUUCGAAACCUAGUACCAGCUGGUUGCAGUGACAGCUCUGUUCGCUUGAAUUUUGUUUGUCAAAUCUAUCAACCAUUUAAUAGUAUUUUUCUCUCACAACAAAUCAACGAAUAGUACUUUUAGCCAUGCCUUUUCUGCUAAGCGAACAGGAUCUCCAAAGCAGGCUAAGCUUGAGGCCAUGGUAAUCACUACAACACCCAAGAACAUCGAUUUUACUUUUGUUGUCUACCAUCUCCUUUUGUUCGUUGUUCGAUUCAGCUACAAUCUUCUUGUUUGUCGAGGAGGAAGAGGAGGAAGAUCUAGCGGCGGCGGCGACGACGACAGUAGCAGCAGCAACAACAACAGCAACACAAGGAGGGAGAGCAGGAACCAAAAGGCAAGGACAACAUCCCAAAGACCCCAACGACGACACAUCCGAAACAGCCAGCCACUCGUUCCAUUUCCGGCAGCAGCAGCAGCAGGGGGAAGAAAGGACCAGGUGUUGUGCCAUAAUGUAGUAGUGCAGCUGCAGCCGCCAGCCACCUAUGUACUGUAAUUCUGUAUGGCACUAUAAUCGUCAAGUAAUAUUAC
Molecule: long non-coding RNA, 655 nt
Filed under: Sorghum bicolor (sorghum)
Lineage: Eukaryota; Viridiplantae; Streptophyta; Magnoliopsida; Poales; Poaceae
Description: long non-coding RNA (SBIC_LNC011535)
Source: RNAcentral